UUUCCACUGCGCUAGUUACCAUUGGUUCUUUCUUCACUCAUCUCACUUAUCUGCUUUUGUUGAAUUGCUUGCAGAGAUGAAACUGCCGGCACAGAAAUUGGCUCCGGCUUUGCCUUGGUAGCAGCUUUACGGUAGCUUUGGCCAUGAAUUUCUGUCUGCAAGUAUCUCUUCCGUGGCUCAACUGAGGAGUCUCCAAAUCUAGGACUUUGACGCGAGACGAGCAUCUCGA
This is a long non-coding RNA of Zingiber officinale, 229 nucleotides long. RefSeq lists it as uncharacterized. The transcript has 3 exons. Lineage: Eukaryota; Viridiplantae; Streptophyta; Magnoliopsida; Zingiberales; Zingiberaceae. The record is from RefSeq and is a predicted model, not a curated record.